Molecule: ribosomal RNA, 253 nt
Filed under: uncultured bacterium
Lineage: Bacteria
Description: partial 16S ribosomal RNA
Rfam family: Bacterial small subunit ribosomal RNA
Source: RNAcentral
UACGUAGGGGGCUAGCGUUGUCCGGAUUUAUUGGGCGUAAAGAGCGUGUAGGCGGCCAGGUAGGCCCGUUGUGAAAACUCGAGGCUCAACCUCGAGACGUCGGCGGAAACCCUCUGGCUAGAGUCCGGAAGAGGAGAGUGGAAUUCCUGGUGUAGCGGUGAAAUGCGCAGAUAUCAGGAAGAACACCCGUGGCGAAGGCGGCUCUCUGGGACGGUACUGACGCUGAGACGCGAAAGCGUGGGGAGCGAACAGG